UAAACUAAUUGGCUUUAGCUUUGCAAUCAUUAAAUUUUAAACUAAUUGGCUUUAACUUUGCUAUUAUUUAACCUUAACCAAAUUGGUUUAAGGUUUGAUUUCAAUUAAUAUCAGCCAAAUUGGCUUUAUUUAUCCUUGCUUACGGGGCUGGGCUAGCCCAUUUUUUUUCUAUCCGGGCUAACCCAGCCCCGUAACCAACAUUUAAGGCCUGAGGGAGCCGAGUUGCUUCCCGGCCACUCUUUGACUUGUGCCCAUUUGCGGCCACUCUUUGACUUGCGCCCAUUUGCGGCCAUUUUGAGUUACGCUGGUUUCAGCGCUGUGCUGUUAUUUUGAAUGUGCCACAUUGGCUUUAGCUUUGCAGUCAAUUAUUGUUAAUCAAAUUGGCUUUAAUACUGAGUCCAUUCAUGUUUGUGUUAUUGAUUUCAAUUUUGCCUUGCUGUGUAUGUAAUGUGCUGAUGCUGUAAUUGUACCUUGUGCCAUGCAAUGUACUGUAUAUUUGGAUGCUGUAAUUGUACCUUGUGCCAUGCAAUGUACUGUAUAUUUGGAUGCUGCGUCUGUCAACUGUGCCGUGCCCUGUACUCAACAUGUGGAUGCUGUGCCUGUAACCCGGGAUGGACAAUUUGCUGUGCAUAUGGAUGUUGUACAUGUAAAAUGUAUUGCACAAUGUGCUCUAUGUGUUGAUGUGAUGGUUGAACAUUGUGCUGUGCCAUGUUCUCAAUGUUCAACCAUCACAUCAACACAUAGAGCACAUUGCACAAUACAUUUUACAUGUACAACAUCCAUAUACACAGCAAAUUGUCCAUCCCAGGUUACAGGCACAGCAUCCACAUGGUGAGAACAGGGCACAGCGCAGCUGACAGACGCAGCAUCCAAAUACACAGUACAUUGCAUGGCACAAGGUACAAUUACAGCAUCAGCACAUUACAUACACAGCAAGGCAAAACUGAAAUCAAUAACACAAACAUGAAUGGACUCCAGUAUUAAAGCCAAUUUGGUUAACAACAAUUGACUGCAAAGCUAAAGCCAAUGUGGCACAUUCAAAAUGGCAGCACAGCGCUGAAACCAGCAUAACUCUCAUAAUGGCCACAAAUAGGCACAAGUCAAAGAGUGGCCGCAAAUGGGCACAAGUCAAAGAGUGGCCGGGAAGCAACUCGGCUCCCUCAGGCCAUGGGCGGUGGUUACGGGGCUGGGUUAGCCCGGAUAGAAAAAAAAUGGGCUAGCCCAGCCCCGUAAGCAAGGAUAAAUAAAGCCAAUUUGGCUAAAAUAAUUUGAUUUCA
Molecule: long non-coding RNA, 1277 nt
Filed under: Coturnix japonica (Japanese quail)
Lineage: Eukaryota; Metazoa; Chordata; Aves; Galliformes; Phasianidae
Description: lncRNA (ENSCJPG00005004254.1)
Source: RNAcentral